GAACCCUUCAUCACUAACUUUCAAAGGGGCAAACAAUACAAAAGCGGAGACCGCAGCAUGACUCAAGCCAUGAUAAAGGACAAGGCAUUGUUGCUCUGCAAAGAAGACGGUUGUUUCCCCCUUUCUGACAUCACAGAACAGUACGUAGCACUCCAGGACAACUUCGACGCAGCCAAGGAAGAUCUCUUCGAACCUGCAAAAUCACAGCACAAGAAAGUGGAUGCCAUCAAGUUGGCUGAGCUGAAGCGAUUGAAGGAAGUGAAGCAAAGCAAGAUCUACAAAAAGCACCGAGCAACCAUCCUUCAGAACACUACAAAGGCCAAGGAAAAGAUGCUGCAACAAGUGCAGAAGCCCUCGCAGAAACCAACUACC
This 372-nucleotide unclassified non-coding RNA is filed under the name fungal sp. RNAcentral describes it as "partial internal transcribed spacer region". Lineage: Eukaryota; Fungi. The record is from RNAcentral.